This 498-nucleotide ribosomal RNA is filed under the name uncultured bacterium. RNAcentral describes it as "bacterial SSU rRNA". It matches the Rfam family "Bacterial small subunit ribosomal RNA", at positions 899 to 1397 of the family's 1533-position model. The record is from RNAcentral.
ACUCAAAGGAAUAGACGGGGGCCCGCACAAGCGGUGGAGCAUGUGGUUUAAUUCGAUGCAACGCGAAGAACCUUACCAGGUCUUGACAUCCAAAGAACCCUGUGGAAACACAGGGGUGCCUUAGGGAGCUUUGAGACAGGUGGUGCAUGGUUGUCGUCAGCUCGUGUCGUGAGAUGUUGGGUUAAGUCCCGCAACGAGCGCAACCCUUGCUAUUAGUUGCUAACAUGAAAGAUGAGCACUCUAAUGGGACUGCCCGUGACAAGCGGGAGGAAGGUGGGGAUGACGUCAAAUCAUCAUGCCCUUUAUGAUCUGGGCUACACACGUGCUACAAUGGAUGGUACAGAGAGCAGCGAGACAGUGAUGUGGAGCGAAUCUCAAAAAGCCAUUCUCAGUUCGGAUUGUAGUCUGCAACUCGACUACAUGAAGUCGGAAUCGCUAGUAAUCGCGAAUCAGCAUGUCGCGGUGAAUGCGUUCCCGGGCCUUGUACACACCGCCCGU